RNAcentral lists this ribosomal RNA (509 nucleotides) under uncultured bacterium. RNAcentral's name for it is "bacterial SSU rRNA". It matches the Rfam family "Bacterial small subunit ribosomal RNA", at positions 28 to 526 of the family's 1533-position model. The record is from RNAcentral.
GAUGAACGCUAGCGGCAGGCCUAACACAUGCAAGUCGAGGGGCAGCGAGAUAACAGUUUACUGUUAUUGUCGGCGACCGGCGCACGGGUGCGUAACGCGUAUGCAACCUACCUAUAACAGGGGAAUAAUCGAGAGAAAUUUUGUCUAAUACCCCGUAACACUAGAUAAGGCAUCUUAUCUAGUUGAAAGAUUUAUUGGUUAUAGAUGGGCAUGCGUGACAUUAGUUAGAUGGUGAGGUAACGGCUCACCAUGACUACGAUGUCUAGGGGAACUGAGAGGUUUAUCCCCCACACUGGUACUGAGACACGGACCAGACUCCUACGGGAGGCAGCAGUGAGGAAUAUUGGUCAAUGGACGCAAGUCUGAACCAGCCAUGCCGCGUGCAGGAAGACGGCUCUAUGAGUUGUAAACUGCUUUUGUAAGAGAAUAAAAAGAGUCACGAGUUGAUUAAUUGAAUGUAUCUUACGAAUAAGGAUCGGCUAACUCCGUGCCAGCAGCCGCGGUAAUAC